RNAcentral lists this long non-coding RNA (201 nucleotides) under Glycine max (soybean). RNAcentral's name for it is "long non-coding RNA (GMAX_LNC001959)". The record is from RNAcentral. Lineage: Eukaryota; Viridiplantae; Streptophyta; Magnoliopsida; Fabales; Fabaceae.
AUCGAAGUACAUUUAUAGGACAUGUACCGUUUUGAGAAGGCAUUGGUGGUGGGGUUGAGAUUUGAGAGCUCACCAUGGUGAAUGAAAGCAAAUAGAGACACAUGAGUAGUGCAACAUAAGUGGAUGCAACAUUUCCCUUGGAAGCCAUCUUACACAACUAAGUAGCUAGCACAAUAGUUAGUUUUGGGAUGCUUAGAUUGU